This 440-nucleotide ribosomal RNA is filed under the name uncultured bacterium. Its description in RNAcentral is "partial 16S ribosomal RNA". It matches the Rfam family "Bacterial small subunit ribosomal RNA", at positions 338 to 795 of the family's 1533-position model. The record is from RNAcentral.
CCUACGGGUGGCAGCAGUGGGGAAUAUUGGACAAUGGGGGGAACCCUGAUCCAGCGACGCCGCGUGAGUGAAGAAGUAUUUCGGUAUGUAAAGCUCUAUCAGCAGGGAAGAAAAUGACGGUACCUGACUAAGAAGCCCCGGCUAACUACGUGCCAGCAGCCGCGGUACUACGUAGGGGGCAAGCGUUAUCCGGAUUUACUGGGUGUAAAGGGAGCGUAGACGGUGCAGCAAGUCUGAUGUGAAAGGUCGGGGCCCAACCCCGGGACUGCAUUGGAAACUGUUGAACUGGAGUACAGGAGAGGUAAACGGAAGUUCUAGUGUAGCGGUGAAAUGCGUAGAUAUUAGGAAGAACACCGGAGGCGAAGGCGGUUUACUGGACUGCAACUGACACUGAGGCUCGAAAGCGUGGGGAGCAAACAGGAUUAGAUACCCUGGUAGUC